This 429-nucleotide ribosomal RNA is filed under the name Actinomycetes bacterium. RNAcentral describes it as "Actinobacteria bacterium partial 16S ribosomal RNA". It matches the Rfam family "Bacterial small subunit ribosomal RNA", at positions 355 to 776 of the family's 1533-position model. Lineage: Bacteria; Bacillati; Actinomycetota; Actinomycetes. The record is from RNAcentral.
UAGGGAAUCUUCCGCAAUGGGCGAAAGCCUGACGGAGCAACGCCGCGUGAGUGAUGAAGGUCUUCGGAUCGUAAAACUCUGUUAUUAGGGAAGAACAAAUGUGUAAGUAACUAUGCACGUCUUGACGGUACCUAAUCAGAAAGCCACGGCUAACUACGUGCCAGCAGCCGCGGUAAUACGUAGGUGGCAAGCGUUCUCCGGAAUUAUUGGGCGUAAAGCGCGCGUAGGCGGUUUUUUAAGUCUGAUGUGAAAGCCCACGGCUCAACCGUGGAGGGUCAGUGGAAACUGGAAAACUUGAGGGCAGAAGAGGAAAGUGGAAUUCCAUGUGUAGCGGUGAAAUGCGCAGAGAUAUGGAGGAACACCAGUGGCGAAGGCGACUUUAUGGUCUGUAAAUGACGCUGAUGUGCGAAAGCGUGGGGAUCAAACAGG